This 535-nucleotide ribosomal RNA is filed under the name Rhodotorula mucilaginosa. RNAcentral's name for it is "eukaryotic LSU rRNA". It matches the Rfam family "Eukaryotic large subunit ribosomal RNA", at positions 61 to 611 of the family's 3401-position model. The record is from RNAcentral. Lineage: Eukaryota; Fungi; Basidiomycota; Microbotryomycetes; Sporidiobolales; Sporidiobolaceae.
GAAACUAACAAGGAUUCCCCUAGUAGCGGCGAGCGAAGCGGGAAGAGCUCAAAUUUAUAAUCUGGCACCUUCGGUGUCCGAGUUGUAAUCUCUAGAAAUGUUUUCCGCGUUGGACCGCACACAAGUCUGUUGGAAUACAGCGGCAUAGUGGUGAGACCCCCGUAUAUGGUGCGGACGCCCAGCGCUUUGUGAUACAUUUUCGAAGAGUCGAGUUGUUUGGGAAUGCAGCUCAAAUUGGGUGGUAAAUUCCAUCUAAAGCUAAAUAUUGGCGAGAGACCGAUAGCGAACAAGUACCGUGAGGGAAAGAUGAAAAGCACUUUGGAAAGAGAGUUAACAGUACGUGAAAUUGUUGGAAGGGAAACGCUUGAAGUCAGACUUGCUUGCCGAGCAAUCGGUUUGCAGGCCAGCAUCAGUUUUCCGGGAUGGAUAAUGGUAGAGAGAAGGUAGCAGUUUCGGCUGUGUUAUAGCUCUCUGCUGGAUACAUCUUGGGGGACUGAGGAACGCAGUGUGCCUUUGGCGGGGGUUUCGACCUCUU